UACAGAGGUCUCAAGCGUUGUUCGGAUUCAUUGGGCGUAAAGGGUGCGUAGGCGGCGCGGUAAGUCGGGUGUGAAAUCUCGGAGCUUAACUCCGAAACUGCAUUCGAUACUGCCGUGCUUGAGGACUGGAGAGGAGACUGGAAUUUACGGUGUAGCGGUGAAAUGCGUAGAUAUCGUAAGGAAGACCAGUGGCGAAGGCGGGUCUCUGGACAGUAACUGACGCUGAGGAGCGAAAGCGUGGGGAGCAAACAGG
RNAcentral lists this ribosomal RNA (253 nucleotides) under uncultured bacterium. RNAcentral describes it as "partial 16S ribosomal RNA". It matches the Rfam family "Bacterial small subunit ribosomal RNA", at positions 524 to 776 of the family's 1533-position model. The record is from RNAcentral.